UAAAGAAAAAUACCAAAACAAAAACAGUGACAGUAGCUCUGACUUAUUUUUUUUUUCACUGAAAUUUUCAUUACUACCGUAAAAAAGAUACAUCGGUGAAAUACUGAAGCCGGCGGAAAACGUAGAAAUCUCCGGAAACUAAGCCCAAACACGGGAAGCUAUAACCCAAACAGCGGGUCUUGUUCAAACUACCGAAACAUCACCUAAACUCUUACAUUCCCUCAAAAACCCAAAAGUUAAACAACAAUGGAUAACAGAACAAAGACUUAAUUGUCUAUGACUAGCCGGAGAUCUUACUACGAACUGAGCAAGCGAGCACGCAAAGUUUGUUAAGGAGAGCAGAACCUCAUCUGAACCUCCUGUUCAAGAUGACAACACCAAACCACAGAAACCUCAUCUGAACCUCCUGUCCCAGAUGACAACACCAGAGCACAAAGACCUCAUUUGAACCACUUGUUCACGAUGACAACAACCAAACCACAACUCUAUAGGCCAAACAUAAAACCAGGGGGAACCACACCUGUGAAAUUCCAUCUUCAAUCGCCCCUUCAUCUGGACACCUCCACACUUCGACCUCAUUUUAUUGCUUCACUAGUUGAAGCCACCGAGGAAGAACAACCAAAGGCAAACCAGGAACAACACUUAUUCAAAGGGCGAGAAUAUGAUACCUUUAAAACACGGCAGGUGAAGAGAUGAACUGAACUUGUCUUCAUCUCAAACCCCUAAAACCUUCAACUGCUCCUCACAACAACACCACCUCACUGCUUCACCGUUGCAGAAUCAAAGACCAACCAAGACCAACUCUAAAAUCCAAGACAGAUUAACCGGGUUCAACCCCUAACAAAGAAUUGCAACACUACCCAAAACCGAUUGUAGACACAACCGCCACAUCACAACAGAGACACCAAGGCUCAGACUUUUACCUCGCUAGGAGACGCAAAUGGAGGCCGGAGAAGGGACCAACCCUUAACCACCACCGACAAACACCACUCUACGCACCCAGAACUACAAGAGGUUCACAGAUCUGAGAAACCAAAAGCUCUAAUAGAGUAUAUUCAGCACACGGGCAAAUGGAGCAGCUCUAAAAGAAAGAGGAGAAGAGAUCUAAGAAGGGAAAGGGAGACAAUACAGCUUUCAGGAUUAGAUCCGGCGACCGCGAGGGAUGGCGGCCGCCGAGCUAGGGUUCUAACACGAGAGCGUUUCUACUUGCAGUAGCUCUGACUUAUUAUCUGGUAAAAAAUGUUUAAGGUUAAUUUGUGUAUUAGCUCAGUAAUUUUAAUACAGAAUUAGCAAACCGAAAUUUUAGAAAAUGGAGCCAACCCAAAUUACUUAUAAGUCAAGUUACAAUUAUAAAGAAAUGAGUUAAAAAGUGUAUGGAGAUGGUAGAAAUGGAUCCUCAAUUAACAAAGAGGUAAGGUAAUGGAGAAAAAUAUUUCAUUGCAUCAAAAUUCAAUAGAUACAAAGUCAGCUCUUUGGACUUCCGUAAUCGUAGCGAUUAAGUAGUCAACCAAAUAGGAAAAGAAAACACUAUUAGAUAUAUGUAGUAAAAUAACAUAAAACACACACAUAUCACUUAGAUUAUAUGUAUAUAUAUCUUACUUGUCUGAGAUAUUAUGGGCAAGAAUCCAUUAAGAUUAUAGAUCGACGGUUGUAAUUCUGUCGUUUUUUGGUUGCUCAUAUUGCGGUUAGAUAGAAAAACAAUAAAAAUAAUAUGCUAUAUAACAUAUUCAUUAAUUAAUAAUUUUAGCUAUAAUAGCCAUUUUGGAUGUAUUUAUUUAUAAAUAAAACACCAACUAGUAUGUUUACAUAUAUUAAUAAAUCUAUCUUUCUAAAAUAAAAUAUUUUAUGUCAAAUGAUAUAUGCCAAAUAAAUUCAACUUCUAUGUUUAUUUUUGAGGAAAAUAUUAAAUUGAAAUUUAGUUGUUAUAUUCUUAUACUUCAAAUAUAUAUGUGUGAAUGAUAUUAAUUAUCAAAUUAUUUACCAUAUAUUUGAAACGGUUUAAGUUACACAAUUAGGAAAUAUUCUUAAUGUCACUUGGUUUGCUUUGGUUUGUCUAAAAUCGUUUUUUUUUUUUUAAUUUGGUACAUAAGAUCUGGUUUGACUAAAUAUGCUUCAGUAUGUUUUUAAUAGGGUUUAUGUGUUAUUGGUUUAACAGGUGUUGAUGAAACUGAAAUGGCUCUU
Molecule: long non-coding RNA, 2181 nt
Filed under: Brassica napus (rape)
Lineage: Eukaryota; Viridiplantae; Streptophyta; Magnoliopsida; Brassicales; Brassicaceae
Description: long non-coding RNA (BNAP_LNC010004)
Source: RNAcentral